UUUCUCUUCUUCUUCUCUCUAUACGUUGGUGUUCUAACCAAUAAUCACCGAUGCGAUGUUCUGUCCGAUCGAUUCAGGAACCAUCUAACGAAUGCCGAAGUGCUGUGCUUUGUGAAUUUCGUUAACCGGAAUCCAAAGUACUAUACUUUGUGAGUUCAUUAAAUGGAUACCAAAGUACUGUCUGAAUAAGACUAUACUUUGUGAAAUUCGUUAAGGUUCGAAUCUCGUGACUACCGUUAAGGUUUGAUUUGGGUUUUACACAAAUACGUAUUCCAUUCUGUUAAACUAUAUGUUUAACUACCAAAAAUACUCCCAACUACACACUCACAAUCAAACAAACUAUUAAAUCAUCAGAAGAUCCAGAAUAAUAAAGUGCAUGCUUAAUUAUCGGAAGAACUAGAAUCAAGAAGCUUGUUAACUCAAUCUUGCAUGCUUAUAAAGUAAUUACAGUAGAUCGGAAUAAGAAUUGGAUCCAGCACUGAAGGACUUCAAGAAGUGGCUUAUUUUAUUAAUUAAAUCAACUUAAGAAAUAUUGUUUUUGGGUUUAUCCCGUAUUAAAAGCUCUCUUUGUAAAACAUGGAAUUUAUUCCAUCUAUUUAAAUAAAAUCCGGUGUUCCUAAACUCUGAUAUUUUUCCUAACUCACGGUCCUGAUGAAAUUUCCGCUGCAAUGUUUUUCAAAAUAAUCAUCGGUACCACUUGAGUUCUCGCGGCUUCCGAUUCCGGCCAGGAUGGGGUCGGGGGUUAUGACACCGAACGCAAUACGUAUAUAAAAUUUUCAGACAAAAAAAACAUAAAUUUAUACUACUGAAAAAGUGUGGCGUGUGGGGGGGGGGGGGUUGUAAGGCGAUGCAUUUGUAUAAAUAAGAAAAAAAAGUCAAACCAAUUAUUGGUCCCUUCUUUAUUCCAUGGACUUCUCAAUUUAUUCCAUGGACUUCUCAAUGAAAGUAAUUAAAGCAUCUUUUUGAAAACAAACACUAAAUAGGGUUGAAACAACAUACGCUACAAACCACAAUCACAAAAGUUAAAGAAUGAAUUUUUGAGUCUCUAAGUUUUAUGGGUUUUCAUUAGUUGAGUCCAAAAUCAAAAAGUUUAACAACCUGAGUCCUCAUAAGCAUUUUCUUUAAUCAUUUGAGUCCAAAUUUCUAAUACUAUUAGAAUUUUUUUGUUAAGUAUUGUUAAAUGACUAAAAUAUCCUUAUAGUUAAAAAAAUAAAAUAAUAAAUGCCCCUAUAUUAAA
Molecule: long non-coding RNA, 1237 nt
Filed under: Helianthus annuus (common sunflower)
Lineage: Eukaryota; Viridiplantae; Streptophyta; Magnoliopsida; Asterales; Asteraceae
Description: hypothetical non coding rna
Source: RNAcentral